UGUUGGAUUAAUUUUCUAAUUAAAGCAAAAUUUAAAAAAGAAAGUCUGUUCGACUUUUAAAAAAUUACAUGAUUUGAGUUCAGACCGGUGUAAACCAGGUCGGUUUCUAUCUUUUUUCAAUUUAUAAUAGUACGAAAGGACCCUAUAAAAAUUUAUUA
RNAcentral lists this ribosomal RNA (158 nucleotides) under Myrmarachne smaragdina. Its description in RNAcentral is "partial 16S ribosomal RNA". The stretch from base 1 to 112 matches the Rfam family "Archaeal large subunit ribosomal RNA", at positions 2599 to 2712 of the family's 2987-position model. The record is from RNAcentral. Lineage: Eukaryota; Metazoa; Arthropoda; Arachnida; Araneae; Salticidae.